This 190-nucleotide non-coding RNA is filed under the name Glycine soja. RNAcentral describes it as "Eukaryotic large subunit ribosomal RNA". It matches the Rfam family "Eukaryotic large subunit ribosomal RNA", at positions 967 to 1122 of the family's 3401-position model. The record is from Rfam by way of RNAcentral. Lineage: Eukaryota; Viridiplantae; Streptophyta; Magnoliopsida; Fabales; Fabaceae.
UUUUCCUCAGGAUAGCGGGCGAGUUCUAUUGGAUAAAGCCAAUGAUUAUAGGCAUCAAGGGCGGAACGCCCUCGACCUAUUCUCAAACUUUAAAUAGGUAGGGUCCAGCGGAUGGAAGAGCACCGCACGUCACGUGGUGUUUAGUAUGCCUCCGGUGGCCCUUGAAAAUCCAGAGGACCAAGUGUCUCCC